Molecule: long non-coding RNA, 310 nt
Organism: Artibeus jamaicensis (Jamaican fruit-eating bat)
Lineage: Eukaryota; Metazoa; Chordata; Mammalia; Chiroptera; Phyllostomidae
Exons: 3
Source: RefSeq, a predicted model, not a curated record
UCUAGAGUGAGGCUGCAGUGGAGAGGAUAUCGGGAGAAAGAGGAAGUCAUGUCUGAGCAGAACUUUCAAAACCAGAAAGAUUCUCUGACUGCUGUGUUCAGCAAGGCUGGUGGAAAGGCAAAGCUGCGGCGGGCAGACCAGGACUGUGUUCGGAGGGAGAGCAAACUAUGAUCAUGGGGGAGGAAGGCGUUCUAAACACUGAGGGGAACACAGAACCACGGAGAAUGAAGCAGCUUGCCUAAAGUCAUGCAACUGAUAGACGUGCACGAAGUCACCCGAUUCCAAAGCCCACGAGGUAGGUAAUCCACGG